UACGGGGGGAGCAAGCGUUGUUCGGAUUUACUGGGCGUAAAGGGCGCGUAGGCGGCCUGUGCAAGUCAGUUGUGAAAUCUCCGAGCUUAACUCGGAACGGUCAACUGAUACUGCUCGGCUAGAGUGCGGAAGGGGCAACUGGAAUUCUUGGUGUAGCGGUGAAAUGCGUAGAUAUCAAGAGGAACACCUGCGGCGAAGGCGGGUUGCUGGGCCGACACUGACGCUGAUGCGCGAAAGCUAGGGGAGCGAACAGG
RNAcentral lists this ribosomal RNA (254 nucleotides) under uncultured bacterium. RNAcentral's name for it is "partial 16S ribosomal RNA". It matches the Rfam family "Bacterial small subunit ribosomal RNA", at positions 524 to 776 of the family's 1533-position model. The record is from RNAcentral.